GGGCCGGUAGCUCAAUGGUAGAGCAGGUGGCUCAUAACCACUUGGUCGGAGGUUCGAUUCCUUCCCGGCCCA
Molecule: non-coding RNA, 72 nt
Organism: Omnitrophica WOR_2 bacterium
Lineage: Bacteria; Pseudomonadati; Candidatus Omnitrophota
Source: Rfam